This 495-nucleotide ribosomal RNA is filed under the name Shewanella sp. 3T3,3 18. RNAcentral's name for it is "bacterial SSU rRNA". It matches the Rfam family "Bacterial small subunit ribosomal RNA", at positions 382 to 877 of the family's 1533-position model. Lineage: Bacteria; Pseudomonadati; Pseudomonadota; Gammaproteobacteria; Alteromonadales; Shewanellaceae. The record is from RNAcentral.
CCUGAUGCAGCCAUGCCGCGUGUGUGAAGAAGGCCUUCGGGUUGUAAAGCAUUAGCGAGGAGGAAAGGUUAUGGCUAAUAUCCAGUAGCUGUGACGUUACUCGCAGAAGAAGCACCGGCUAACUUCGUGCCAGCAGCCGCGGUAAUACGAGGGGUGCAAGCGUUAAUCGGAAUUACUGGGCGUAAAGCGUACGCAGGCGGUUUGUUAAGCGAGAUGUGAAAGCCCCGGGCUCAACCUGGGAACUGCAUUUCGAACUGGCAAACUAGAGUCUUGUAGAGGGGGGUAGAAUUUCAGGUGUAGCGGUGAAAUGCGUAGAGAUCUGAAGGAAUACCGGUGGCGAAGGCGGCCCCCUGGACAAAGACUGACGCUCAGGUACGAAAGCGUGGGGAGCAAACAGGAUUAGAUACCCUGGUAGUCCACGCCGUAAACGAUGUUACUCGUUUGGUGUCUUGAACACUGGGCUCUCAAGCUAACGCAUUAAGUAGACCGCCUGGG